GCCACCGAAUACAUUAGCAUGGGAUAAUGGAAUAGGACCCUGUCCUCCUAUUUUCAGUUGGUUUUGGCAGCGCGAGGACUAGGGUAAUGAUUAAUAGGGAUAGUUGGGGGCAUUAAUAUUUAAUUGUCAGAGGUGAAAUUCUUGGAUUUAUGAAAGAUUAACUUCUGCGAAAGCAUCUGCCAAGGAUGUUUUCAUUAAUCAAGAACGAAAGUUAGGGGAUCGAAGACGAUCAGAUACCGUCGUAGUCUUAACCAUAAACGAUGCCGACCAGCGAUUAGGAGACGUUGAAUACAAAACACCACCAUCGGUGCGGUCGUCCUUGGCGUCGGUCUUUCGGGGCCGGCGCGGGGACGGCUUAGCCCGGUGGCACCGGUGAAUGACUCCCUAG
RNAcentral lists this ribosomal RNA (388 nucleotides) under Acanthamoeba genotype T4. Its description in RNAcentral is "SSU rRNA". The stretch from base 1 to 342 matches the Rfam family "Eukaryotic small subunit ribosomal RNA", at positions 791 to 1116 of the family's 1831-position model. The record is from RNAcentral. Lineage: Eukaryota; Discosea; Longamoebia; Acanthamoebidae.